Salvia splendens (bonfire salvia) is the source of this 1191-nucleotide long non-coding RNA. RefSeq lists it as uncharacterized. Lineage: Eukaryota; Viridiplantae; Streptophyta; Magnoliopsida; Lamiales; Lamiaceae. The transcript has 7 exons. The record is from RefSeq and is a predicted model, not a curated record.
AUAUAAAAGGAAAUUUUCUCUCAUUUUCUCAACUUGCCUGCGCCGUCCACGGAAAAACCCUAGUGAGACUUCCACUCCAAUCCGCCGGAAAUUGCAUAAGACCACCGAAUCGCCGACGUCAUCAACGCAAAACCCAGCCAAGACAGACUUAUCCACGCCGUUUGCAAGUUUUUAGACUCAAAGGACGACCAACUCGAAUCUCUAACCCUACCUUCCAAACCGACGUCGCCGGCACAAACCCUAACCGACGAACGCUUUGCCACGGUCACCAGAAACUAUUCGACUGAAUCCACCACGGAAUAGAUUCGCAAAUCCUAGCCCCAAUUCACGGCGUUCAGAAGCAACUCAAUUAGAUCGAAGUCGCUUUUGAUUUCAGAAUCGGAGAAAUAAUGGAAGGCAUUAGACGAUUCAAUGGUCUGUUAGAUGGUUUGGGUCCACGGUUUAAAGAUUGGUGAGGAACUGGGGUGCUUCCUGUUGAUGCUGAACAAAACCCUCCGAAUAUUCCCGGAUGCAAGACACCGUUUAGGCUUCUUCCUACUGGAAUGCGCCCACGACUAACCAAUGCUGAGAUGACCAACUUAUAGAAGCUUGCUAAGUCGCUUCCUUGCCACUUUGCCCUCGGUUACUCAAAGAGAAGUAAAAAAUGGAAAGAAAAAAGAAGAGCGGGUGGAUAUCUCAUAGUGACAACAAAGAAGGAAAUCAGCUGUGAAAGGACAAUCGAUAGGAAAAAGUGGAUGGGAGAAAGCAAUAAUCAGAGCCUGGGAGAGACGGAAAGUUUAUUGUUUGGAGAACCUGCAAAGGCCUAACACCUACCACCCAUUCAGAUGCAGAAUAUGGUCAACAAAUUCGAGGUUAAAAUUUUUAAAGAAUAAGGUAAUCUCAAAAAAUUUCUUCACCAAAAAUGAAUAAGUGGCAACAUUGGAAAGAUGAGAGGCUUCUCUUUUCCAGUGCAGUAACAUGCCUGAAAAUGUCAAUCCUGAAUUAUUAUCCAGACUAAUAGUUACAUCCAUUUUUUGCAGGUACUAAUGGAAUAAAAAAAUAGAAUAGGUUUGCAGCAUUGGAAACAUGACUUCUUGUUUGUUGUGUGUACUAACACACGCACACACCAUCCUACAUUUAAAGGAACUGUAUUCUCUGCACUUUGUGUCGAUAUUAUUAAACAAAAAAUAUAAUAAUAACACAGUCAGCAAA